Molecule: ribosomal RNA, 464 nt
Filed under: uncultured bacterium
Lineage: Bacteria
Description: partial 16S ribosomal RNA
Rfam family: Bacterial small subunit ribosomal RNA
Source: RNAcentral
CUACGGGCGGCUGCAGUGGGGAAUAUUGCACAAUGGGCGCAAGCCUGAUGCAGCCAUGCCGCGUGUAUGAAGAAGGCCUUCGGGUUGUAAAGUACUUUCAGCGGGGAGGAAGGGAGUAAAGUUAAUACCUUUGCUCAUUGACGUUACCCGCAGAAGAAGCACCGGCUAACUCCGUGCCAGCAGCCGCGGUAAUACGGAGGGUGCAAGCGUUAAUCGGAAGUACUGGGCGUAAAGCGCACGCAGGCGGUUUGUUAAGUCAGAUGUGAAAUCCCCGGGCUCAACCUGGGAACUGCCUCUGAUACUGACAAGCUUGAGUCUCGUAGAGGGGGGUAGAAUUCCAGGUGUAGCGGUGAAAUGCGUAGAGAUCUGGAGGAAUACCGGUGGCGAAGGCGGCCCCCUGGACGAAGACUGACGCUCAGGUGCGAAAGCGUGGGGAGCAAACAGGAUUAGAUACCCCUGUAGUC